Molecule: ribosomal RNA, 380 nt
Filed under: Staphylococcus aureus
Lineage: Bacteria; Bacillati; Bacillota; Bacilli; Caryophanales; Staphylococcaceae
Description: bacterial SSU rRNA
Rfam family: Bacterial small subunit ribosomal RNA
Source: RNAcentral
UUAGCGGCGGACGGGUGAGUAACACGUGGAUAACCUACCUAUAAGACUGGGAUAACUUCGGGAAACCGGAGCUAAUACCGGAUAAUAUUUUGAACCGCAUGGUUCAAAAGUGAAAGACGGUCUUGCUGUCACUUAUAGAUGGAUCCGCGCUGCAUUAGCUAGUUGGUAAGGUAACGGCUUACCAAGGCAACGAUGCAUAGCCGACCUGAGAGGGUGAUCGGCCACACUGGAACUGAGACACGGUCCAGACUCCUACGGGAGGCAGCAGUAGGGAAUCUUCCGCAAUGGGCGAAAGCCUGACGGAGCAACGCCGCGUGAGUGAUGAAGGUCUUCGGAUCGUAAAACUCUGUUAUUAGGGAAGAACAUAUGUGUAAGUAACU